Molecule: ribosomal RNA, 497 nt
Filed under: uncultured bacterium
Lineage: Bacteria
Description: partial 16S ribosomal RNA
Rfam family: Bacterial small subunit ribosomal RNA
Source: RNAcentral
GACGAACGCUGGCGGCGUGCCUAAUACAUGCAAGUUGAGCGAUGAAGAUUGGUGCUUGCACCAAUUUGAAGAGCAGCGCACGGGUGAGUAACGCGUGGGGAAUCUGCCUUUGAGCGGGGGACAACAUUUGGAAACGAAUGCUAAUACCGCAUAACAACUUUAAACAUAAGUUUUAAGUUUGAAAGAUGCAAUUGCAUCACUCAAAGAUGAUCCCGCGUUGUAUUAGCUAGUUGGUGAGGUAAAGGCUCACCAAGGCGAUGAUACAUAGCCGACCUGAGAGGGUGAUCGGCCACAUUGGGACUGAGACACGGCCCAAACUCCUACGGGAGGCAGCAGGAGGGAAUCUUCGGCAAUGGACGAAAGUCUGACCGAGAAACGCCGCGUGAGUGAAGAAGGUUUUCGGAUCGUAAAACUCUGUUGGUAGAGAAGAACGUUGGUGAGAGUGGAAAGCUCAUCAAGUGACGGUAACUACCCAGAAAGGGACGGCUAACUACGUG